AGGCAAAGCACCGGCGGAGAGAGAGCCUGCUCAAACAGGAAAACGUAAGCCCACCAUCCGUCGCAUGGGUACGUUUGAGCACUUCU
RNAcentral lists this transfer RNA (86 nucleotides) under Pyrenophora tritici-repentis. Its description in RNAcentral is "tRNA-Val". The record is from RNAcentral. Lineage: Eukaryota; Fungi; Ascomycota; Dothideomycetes; Pleosporales; Pleosporaceae.